Molecule: non-coding RNA, 83 nt
Organism: Xyrichtys novacula (pearly razorfish)
Lineage: Eukaryota; Metazoa; Chordata; Actinopteri; Labriformes; Labridae
Source: the annotation of a GenBank genome assembly
GAUAGAUAAUACUGCUAUUGCCAAUCCUCUCUGUCAUGUAAUCCAUAUUCCAGAGAGGAUUGGCAAUAGCAGUAUUAUCUAUC